AGUAAAAGUCGUAACAAGGUCUCCGUUGGUGAACCAGCGGAGGGAUCAUUACAGAGUUAUCCAACUCCCAAACCCAUGUGAACAUAUCUCUUUGUUGCCUCGGCGCAAGCUACCCGGGACCCCCCGGGCGGCCCGCCGGCGGACACACCAAACUCUGUUAUCUUCGUUGAUUAUCUGAGUGUCUUAUUUAAUAAGUCAAAACUUUCAACAACGGAUCUCUUGGUUCUGGCAUCGAUGAAGAACGCAGCGAAAUGCGAUAAGUAAUGUGAAUUGCAGAAUUCAGUGAAUCAUCGAAUCUUUGAACGCGCAUUGCGCCCAUUAGUAUUCUAGUGGGCAUGCCUGUUCGAGCGUCAUUUCAACCCCUAAGCACAGCUUAUUGUUGGGAAUCUACGGUCGUAGUUCCUCAAAGACAUUGGCGGAGCGGCAGCAGUCCUCUGAGCGUAGUAAUUCUUUAUCUCGCUUUUGUUAGGCGCUGCCCCCCCGGCCGUAAAACCCCCCCUUUUUUCUGGUUGACCUCGGAUCAGGUAGGAAUACCCGCUGAACUUAAGCAUAUCAAUAAGCGGAGGAAAAGAAACCAACAGGGAUUGCCCCAGUAACG
RNAcentral lists this ribosomal RNA (598 nucleotides) under uncultured fungus. Its description in RNAcentral is "eukaryotic LSU rRNA". The stretch from base 200 to 353 matches the Rfam family "5.8S ribosomal RNA". The record is from RNAcentral. Lineage: Eukaryota; Fungi.